RNAcentral lists this ribosomal RNA (253 nucleotides) under uncultured bacterium. Its description in RNAcentral is "partial 16S ribosomal RNA". It matches the Rfam family "Bacterial small subunit ribosomal RNA", at positions 524 to 776 of the family's 1533-position model. The record is from RNAcentral.
UACGGGGGGGGCAAGCGUUGUUCGGAAUUACUGGGCGUAAAGGGCUCGUAGGCGGCCAACUAAGUCCGACGUGAAAUCCCCAGGCUUAACCUGGGAACUGCGUCGGAUACUGGAUGGCUUGAAUUCGGGAGAGGGAUGCAGAAUUCCAGGCGUAGCGGUGAAAUGCGUAGAUAUCUGGAGGAAUACCGGUGGCGAAGGCGGCAUCCUGGACCGACAUUGACGCUGAUGAGCGAAAGCUAGGGGAGCAAACGGG